RNAcentral lists this ribosomal RNA (166 nucleotides) under uncultured bacterium. RNAcentral's name for it is "partial 16S rRNA". It matches the Rfam family "Bacterial small subunit ribosomal RNA", at positions 355 to 511 of the family's 1533-position model. The record is from RNAcentral.
UAGGGAAUCUUCGGCAAUGGGGGCGAACCCUGACCGAGCAACGCCGCGCGAGUGAAGAAGGUUUUCGGAUCGUAAAGCUCUGUUGUAAGAGAAGAACGUGUGUGAGAGUGGAAAGUUCACACAGUGACGGUAACUUACCAGAAAGGGACGGCUAACUACGUGCCAC